GACUUUUCCUAGUCCCUGAGACCCUAACUUGUGAGGUAUUUUAGUAACAUCACAAGUCAGGCUCUUGGGACCUAGGCGGAGGG
Non-coding RNA from Capra hircus (goat), 83 nucleotides. RefSeq annotates it as microRNA 125b. NCBI's taxonomy places the organism in Eukaryota, Metazoa, Chordata, Mammalia, Artiodactyla, Bovidae. The transcript has a single exon. The record is from RefSeq and is marked provisional.